AACGAACGCUGGCGGCGUGCCUAACACAUGCAAGUCGUGCGAGAAAGUUCCUUCGGGAGCGAGUAAAGCGGCGCACGGGUGAGUAACACGUAGGUAACCUGCCCCCCAGUCUGGAACAACUAGAGGAAACUCUAGCUAAUGCCGGAUGAGACCACGAUCCCUUCGGGGGUUGCGGCCAAAGAUGGCCUCUACUUGUAAGCUAUCGCUGAGGGAUGGGCCUGCGGGCCAUUAGCUUGUUGGUGAGGUAACGGCUCACCAAGGCUGUGAUGGCUAGCUGGUCUGAGAGGAUGACCAGCCACACUGGGACUGAGACACGGCCCAGACUCCUACGGGAGGCAGCAGUGGGGAAUAUUGCGCAAUGGGCGAAAGCCUGACGCGGCGACGCCGCGUGGGUGAUGAAGGCCU
This 405-nucleotide ribosomal RNA is filed under the name uncultured bacterium. Its description in RNAcentral is "bacterial SSU rRNA". It matches the Rfam family "Bacterial small subunit ribosomal RNA", at positions 29 to 417 of the family's 1533-position model. The record is from RNAcentral.